RNAcentral lists this ribosomal RNA (485 nucleotides) under uncultured bacterium. RNAcentral's name for it is "partial 16S ribosomal RNA". It matches the Rfam family "Bacterial small subunit ribosomal RNA", at positions 30 to 507 of the family's 1533-position model. The record is from RNAcentral.
AUUGAACGCUGGCGGCAUGCCUUACACAUGCAAGUCGAACGGCAGCACGGGUGCUUGCACCUGGUGGCGAGUGGCGAACGGUGAGUAAUACAUCGGAACAUGUCCUGUAGUGGGGGAUAGCCCGGCGAAAGCCGGAUUAAUACCGCAUACGAUCUACGGAUGAAAGCGGGGGACCUUCGGGCCUCGCGCUAUAGGGUUGGCCGAUAGCUGAUUAGCUAGUUGGUGGGGUAAAGGCCUACCAAGGCGACGAUCAGUAGCUGGUCUGAGAGGACGACCAGCCACACUGGGACUGAGACACGGCCCAGACUCCUACGGGAGGCAGCAGUGGGGAAUUUUGGACAAUGGGCGAAAGCCUGAUCCAGCAAUGCCGCGUGUGUGAAGAAGGCCUUCGGGUUGUAAAGCACUUUUGUCCGGAAAGAAAUCCUUGGCUCUAAUACAGUCGGGGGAUGACGGUACCGGAAGAAUAAGCACCGGCUAACUACGUG